Molecule: ribosomal RNA, 686 nt
Filed under: Salmonella enterica
Lineage: Bacteria; Pseudomonadati; Pseudomonadota; Gammaproteobacteria; Enterobacterales; Enterobacteriaceae
Also listed under: 2 other names
Description: partial 23S ribosomal RNA
Rfam family: Bacterial large subunit ribosomal RNA
Source: RNAcentral
CUGAACAUUGAGCCUUGAUGUGUAGGAUAGGUGGGAGGCUUUGAAGUGUGGACGCCAGUCUGCAUGGAGCCGACCUUGAAAUACCACCCUUUAAUGUUUGAUGUUCUAACGUGGACCCGUGAUCCGGGUUGCGGACAGUGUCUGGUGGGUAGUUUGACUGGGGCGGUCUCCUCCUAAAGAGUAACGGAGGAGCACGAAGGUUGGCUAAUCCUGGUCGGACAUCAGGAGGUUAGUGCAAUGGCAUAAGCCAGCUUGACUGCGAGCGUGACGGCGCGAGCAGGUGCGAAAGCAGGUCAUAGUGAUCCGGUGGUUCUGAAUGGAAGGGCCAUCGCUCAACGGAUAAAAGGUACUCCGGGGAUAACAGGCUGAUACCGCCCAAGAGUUCAUAUCGACGGCGGUGUUUGGCACCUCGAUGUCGGCUCAUCACAUCCUGGGGCUGAAGUAGGUCCCAAGGGUAUGGCUGUUCGCCAUUUAAAGUGGUACGCGAGCUGGGUUUAGAACGUCGUGAGACAGUUCGGUCCCUAUCUGCCGUGGGCGCUGGAGAACUGAGGGGGGCUGCUCCUAGUACGAGAGGACCGGAGUGGACGCAUCACUGGUGUUCGGGUUGUCAUGCCAAUGGCACUGCCCGGUAGCUAAAUGCGGAAGAGAUAAGUGCUGAAAGCAUCUAAGCACGAAACUUGCCCCGA